Molecule: ribosomal RNA, 403 nt
Filed under: Escherichia coli
Lineage: Bacteria; Pseudomonadati; Pseudomonadota; Gammaproteobacteria; Enterobacterales; Enterobacteriaceae
Description: partial 23S ribosomal RNA
Rfam family: Bacterial large subunit ribosomal RNA
Source: RNAcentral
CAAUCAAACCGGGAGAUAGCUGGUUCUCCCCGAAAGCUAUUUAGGUAGCGCCUCGUGAAUUCAUCUCCGGGGGUAGAGCACUGUUUCGGCAAGGGGGUCAUCCCGACUUACCAACCCGAUGCAAACUGCGAAUACCGGAGAAUGUUAUCACGGGAGACACACGGCGGGUGCUAACGUCCGUCGUGAAGAGGGAAACAACCCAGACCGCCAGCUAAGGUCCCAAAGUCAUGGUUAAGUGGGAAACGAUGUGGGAAGGCCCAGACAGCCAGGAUGUUGGCUUAGAAGCAGCCAUCAUUUAAAGAAAGCGUAAUAGCUCACUGGUCGAGUCGGCCUGCGCGGAAGAUGUAACGGGGCUAAACCAUGCACCGAAGCUGCGGCAGCGACGCUUAUGCGUUGUUGGGUA